AGAAAAGCGCUGCUGCCCGUACGGCAGUGCGCGAUGGUCGGGGUAGCGCCUGUGCUAGUAGCCGCUAGUGUCUUCGGUGGUUCCUCGCAUGUGUGUGUAAUGGUGAGCAGCGGCAAAGGAAACGACGACGAAGACGGCUGCUGUCCCGCCUCCGACGACAGCUAGCUUGUCCCGAUGUCAUGGCGGCUCGGCCCAUCUCCUCCCCGGUGCCUCGGCCUGCUGGCCGAGACGGGAUCUUCCGAAAGGAGCGGGAUCCCCCGUCCCCUUCCCCCUCCUCCUCCCGGCGCCUUACUGCCCGCUCGCUACCUGACGUGUGCCCCAAAGAGCCCACUGGUGAGGGGCGGGGCCUGUGCGACGAUCCCUCUGUGGUUUCGGAGCACGACCGCUGGACGGUGUACAGUUCCAAGGUCAACCUGCCAGCGGCACUCAACGACCCAAGGCUGGCCAAACGUGAGUCAGACUUCUUCACCAAGACCUGGGGUCUGGACUUCAGCGAGUCGGAGGUGAUGCCGUCCUUCUGCCUCGCCAACGUUACGCAGGAACACUUCAGCGUGUACCUGCAGGAGAGCGCACAGAGGGAAAGAAUCCACGAGCGAUGUAAGACUCUUUGUCCAGUCAAAGAUGACAUUGUGGAUGCCAUCUCCAGCAUUAGCACCACGCAAGAAAAGUCCAGAGCAGAAUUGGACCAAAUCCCCAAGAUGUUCCUGAAGCCUGACUUUGCCCUGGAAGAGCCGUCGACCUUCAAUGCUGUCCUGCCGUGGUCCCACUUCAACAGCGGUGGUGGGCGCAGCAGCCGUGACGUGGCGUCCUCCAAACUGCUGCAAGAGAAGCUGAGUCACUACCUAGACGUGGUGGAGGUUAGCAUCGCCCGGCAGAUCUCUCUGCGCUCGGAGGCUUUCUUCAACGCCAUGUCGUCGCAGCACGACCUGCAGGACCGUCUGAAGGAGACUCAAAAGGCCGUGGCCGUGCUGCGGCGCCGCACCGCUGCCAUCGACCGAGUCAUGUGCCAGGGCCCCCUGGCGGCUCUGCGUGCCGCCCUCACACGCAACAACUGCGUCAAGCUGCACAACAAGCUGAAGCUGAUGGCGGCCGUGCACCAGACUCAGCCCACCGUGCAGUUGCUGCUCUCAACCUCUGAGUUUGUGGGAGCCCUAGAGCUUAUCGCCACCACCAAGGAAGUUCUCCAGCAGGAGCUGCAAGGCAUCCAUAGCUUCAGACAUCUGGGCUCUCAGCUGUGUGAGCUGGAGAAGCUGAUUGACAAGAUGAUGGUGGAGGAUUUCAGCAUGUAUGCACGCAGUGAGCUCAACCGCAGCCUGAGGGACGACACACAGCUCCUGGAGAAGGAGCGUCUUCAGUCGCUGGUGUUUGGCCUGCUGCGCCAGAGGAAGCUGGACUUUUUGGACAUUUACGGUGACGAGAUGAUGGCAGCGGCCAAGGCCAUUGUGUCCCAGUGUGUCGCAGAACGGCUCCUGUCCAUCGAUGAUAUCGACACGGAAGUUGUCACCAAGUUGGCCGAGCAGAUGCGUCUGAUGACCUUCCCUCAGUGGUUUGAGCUCCUCAAGGACAUCUUUGACUGCUUCCUGCUUUUCUUCCAGAGGAUGAAGGCCACUGUCAGUGUCAUCCAGCUGGUGGUUCUAGAGGUUCUGGAGACCAACCAGAAGACUUCCUUGGUGGGUAAGUCCCACCUGGAGGACCGUCAGCCUAAUGAGUCACCCGGCUCGUACGGUGACGUCACCGAGUUGGCCUACCUCACACACGACGGCCCGUUCAUCAGCGACGCCCUCCGCAGUGCCCACCCCCACCAAGAUGGCGAUGUACACCAAGCCAGAGCCGGAACGCCGGACGGCGAGUUGGCGUCCAGGGAGCAGAACUUCAUGUCCGGUGACAUGAUGCCGUCUGACAUGGAGCUGAACCGUGUGCUGAACAACAUCCAGGAGCUUCUGCACGCCGCCUCCGACAUUAGCCAUGACCGCUGUGUCAAGGUUCUCACUGCCAGAGCCAAGGACGGCUCUCUGGAGCGCAUCAGCUCGGCUGAGUUUGUGGCCCUGUCGGUGGCAGUAGAGGCCUUCGUUAAGGACACGGAGGAGCUGUGCGGCAGGCGCAGUGUGUCUCUGCGUGGGGCGCUGCAGAGUCAGGCUGACCGCUUUGUCCACCGCUUCCACGAGGAGCGCAAGACCAAACUCAGUCUCCUGCUGGAUAAUGAGCGGUGGAAGCAGGCAGAGGUUCCCGCCGAGUUUCAGGAGCUGGUGGACUCCAUGGCGGACGGCGCCAUCACACUCUCACUACGCAAAGCAGCAGGUCCAGACGACAGGAAGCCGGGCGACUUCUUGCUGGUACAGGGGCACAAAUACGCCGUGGUGGGGACGGUGCUGCUGCUCAUCCGGAUCUUUCUGGAAUACUGCCAGUGCGUCAAUGACAUCCCGGCCAUAGCCACAGACAUGUUGACGCGGCUGGCUGACCUCCUCAAGCACUUCAACUCUCGCAGUUGUCAGCUGGUUCUUGGUGCAGGAGCCCUGCAGGUGGUCGGCCUCAAGACCAUCACCACCAAAAACCUCGCGUUAGCGUCGCGUUGCCUGCAGCUGGUGAUGUUUUACAUUCCCGUCAUCAGGCGACAUUUUGAGAGCAAACUGCAGCCCAAACACUUUAGCGUCCUCAGGCACUUUGACCACAUCACCAAGGACUACAAUGACCACGUGUCUGAGAUCUGGGCCAAGCUGGUGGCCAUCAUGGACAGCGUGUUUGAGAAGGUUCUGACAAAGUAUGAGGUGAAGGCCCCGAUGCCGUCGUCGUGUUUCCGUAACGUGUGUAAGCAAAUGGUCAAGAUGCACGAGGCCAUCAACGACCUCCUGCCCGCCGAGCAGACACUGAUGCUCUUUGUCAGGAUCAACAACAGCUUGAAGGCAAACCUGAAGCGGCAGCUGGCUCGACUCGGUGUUGUCAACGAUGGCGGGCCACAGCAUGGGCUGGUGGUGGUGGACGUGGCCUUCUACACAGAGAACGUGCAGGCCCUCAAGAACUUGGAGGCCUUCGAUCUCAACAUGGCCGAGAUCUGGGAGCACAAGAGGUGACCUCAGCCGCCACCAACGGCCAACGACGACCACAACAGCGCUGUUGGAGCCUUUAUAUCCUCGAUGUCCAGCUCAAGUUCCAUCAUGGCUCCGGCGGGGAUGUCGAUACGAUCGCCGUGGUUGGCGAUGAUGAUCACCGUUCCCUGCCGACACAAAUACCUACAUACAUCAUCAAGGUAUGUAUCGAAGUUUGGAUGUCAGUUGUCCAAAGGUUUACAAUUACCACAACAUCGCUACUUUUUUGUGUUAGCUUGUCAGUGGCAUUUUAUUAUAUGUUAGCAUUAAGGUUGCAGACUUUGAUUAGAUGAAAUUAUAUGAUUUGGUUAAACAUUUUAGUGGAAGGUAUAAAACUGUAAACCAAUGUUUCUCAAACUUUUGACCACCAAGUACCACUUCAAAAAAAAUCCUUGGUUUAUAAUGACCAACAUUAAAUUACAGUAGGUUAGUAGGACCAAGUGUUCAUGAAAAACAAAGUUUUAUUCCUAAAAAGUAUAUUUAAUAUUAUUGGAAGCCACUGUAACAACAUACAAAGUUUAAACAGCUUAAAAAGCAGGAAUAUAGGAAAGUGUUGCACACUUUGUAAAAGGGAAAUGGUUCGUACAUGUUUGGAAACAAACUGUUAUGCAUAUAUAUUGCACUUAAAAAUACAACUGUAACUGGAUUUAAAAAAGGUGACAUGCACAGUUUGAACAUUUAAGUCGAUUCAUUCAUGUAGCAGUAGAGGGCGGCUUCGAAGCACACUGAGAAUCACUGCUAUAAACUAUAUAUGGUUAUUUAUACAUCAGACAUGCAAACACCAAAGGCAUGAAAAAGGUGACACCCAAAAAAAAAAAUUUUUUUGGUCCGGUCUGGGGGGAUUCCCUGAGCCCCCGCAGAGAAUUUUUUUAUAUUUGAACAUAAAUUAAGCAAUCUGGAAGACUUCUAAACAGUCCAAUAAGGCAAAAAAAUAAUAAUAGUAAUAAUAAAUCUUCACGAAGAAUAACGCAUUUACACCGCUCAAAUACAUGUUGAUGUACAAAUUUAAGAUUAAAAUGAAAUUUGCCUCAUUUCUUUGCUUUUUUGUUUUGGCCUCCAACUUGAGCCAGGCCCAUCUCCACCUGCACCUGAUGCCUGCUUCAAGCUGCGCCACGUGAAUAGCAUCCUCCUCUUUAAGCAAUCUCAUUCUGGAAAAGAAUUGACUAAAAUCAUUGGCUGUUUCUCUUCAUUUUUCACUAUUACCAACUUCAAAGGCUUCAAAGGUUUUUAGCCACAGCAUGAACAUCAAUUGAAAAAAAAAAUCUAAAUAAAAUGUAAUGUACAAAUUCUGAUGUUACUGUGUGUGUAUGCACAGUCAAAAUAUAAUAAUAAUUGAUAAAAGUAGCGAGUGGCAUUUCGAUCAUUGUAACUUAGUAAAAGUACCGUAACCUAUUAACAGCAGAAGGAGCUGAAGUUUUUUUCUGGUCUCGUCAACUCUUGUGACUUCGAGCGCACAGGCAGAACCUCACGCCGCGUAUUAGUCCGCCGGGGAGUAAUAUUAAAAAUUACAUCUGUGUGUUGAUGGUGGAUGUGUGGAAUGGCUCUAGCUGCCAGCAUUGAAGGAGUAUGAAACAGCCUAUAAUGUCAGUGAUGGCGAUGGUGACAGCCCCCCCCCCCCCCCCCCCCCCCACAGAAAAAACUCAUCGGAUCUAUACAAUUUACGUAAAUGGCCUAUUUUGCCGAAAGGCGACUGAUUUGCAUGUAUGAUACAUAGCAGGUUUCCACAUAUCGCGGGUGGGUCUGAAACACAUCGCGUGAGUUCCACGUACCUUGAGUGAGACGUUCUUCCCGAAGGUGACGUCUCCUGCCACAGUGAGGUGGUCCAACUCCAGCAUGUCUGGGAUGCUGUCGAAGCGGGACAGGAACUCUUGGACCUGACAGCAAUGACCGAACACAAUGUUAGCGUAGCGUUGAAACUGCAUGUUGCUAAUGUGAAUGAAUGUAAGUACGUUUGAAUCCGAAGGUUAGCACGUCGUCACCGCCUGUCAUCGCAGUUGUCGUCAUCAAAGCAGUUCGUGCGUCUAUAUGUGUUUGAAUACUAACUAGAAAUAUUAACAUUGCUGCAUAUCCUAGCAAUAGCCGUGUUGGUUAUUGCAGUGUGUGUGCAUGUAUUACGAUAAAAGCAUGCUAACAACUACACCUUAAACGAUCGAUGAAUCGACAACUAAUCGAUUAUCAAAUUCUUCGACCACUAUUUUGAUAAUCGAUUAAUUGUUUAGAGACCUUGUUUAACUUUGUCCAAAUUUUCUGAUUUCAGCUUCUUAACAGUAAAUACUCCAGUUUCUGUCGUCUUUGGUGAAAGCAGAUCUUUGUGUUUAACCAAAACAAGACAUUUGCAAACAACUGCUUUUACUUUGGAAAAGAUCAACAUUUUUGCCUUUUUUCUGACUUGUUACAACUCAAACUAGGAACGGAAUAAUAAUUUCUGGAAAAGAGUCCGUGAAAUCUAUUAGAAAAAUAAUGGUUAUUUGCAGCUGUAGUAAGAAUGACAUUUAAAUGACAAGCAGCCUUCGAAGUGUACAUCAAUCCAGUAGCCCUUUGUUUGCAUGAAUCAAUAGCUAAAAAAUCAUCGUCGCUUCCAAAAAGGUUUGCGAGUACAACAUGACUCCCUUUCGCGUGAUAGCGUUUUACUUAUUUGGUUUUGUUUCAUCAUUAAAAAAAAUAGCAAAUAAUAAAAAAUAAUCAGUAAAUAAACAGUAAUUGGGGGGUGCUUUUGCAAUACACUUUAGUUGAAAAUGUUUAUUUAUUUAUAUUUAUUCGAUAGAAAAAGAUAAUUCCAAAAAUAUUGGAUAGUGUCAUAACAACUCUAAAAAGGCCCAACCUUGGCGAAGCAGCUGCCCAGCUUGACAUGCGGUGUGGUGGGGAACUCCCUUUUUUGGCUCAUGGUAAGCGAACCUGCGUCCAGGCUGUACAGGUUGGACAUGACCAGCAGCAGGUCCGCGGACGUCUUGACGGGCAGGAAUCGAGAACGCGGCACAUUGACGCCCAUAGCGUUACGGAAACUCUUGAUGGCUGCGCCCACCGCCGUCUCUAGCUGGAUCACGUUCAGACCGCCCUCCAGCGUCUGCGCACGCAGGCGCGCACACAUAAACACAUGCACGGCAGUAGGAAGUGACAUCACAGACUGGAGCGGGAAGUGAAACGUCGGCGUGAUGCGUAUGCGCGCAUGACCUUGUAGUUGACGAUGACGUCCAAGUCAAUGGCGUUGUUGUCGAGCAGCCUCUUGACGGCGCUUAGCGAGAUCCACAAGUUGUUGGUGUUGAAAAUCUUGAACUUGGUGACCGACUUGAACUCGUCCACGUGGGCUUUGGGAACCUGAGCGAUCUCCAGCAGCCUCAAGUGGUCCUCGUAUUGGAUCAGCGUGCCGCCCUUAAGUCCCACAUGGGUCAGUCAGACAACACUCACACCGACUCUCAUGCACACUAAAGCAUAUACCCUCAAACAGAUAAAGUACACACACACACACACACACACACGUGUGGCGCACCUUGACGUCGGCGCGUGUCUUGUCAGUGACCUCCAUGAUGAACUCGCAGCGCCUGUCUGGCGAUUGGUUGAUGAGCCUGCGGAGGAUGUGAAGGUCGACGGUGGCGCCCAGGUUGUCGAUGUUGGACACGAACACGUACUCCUUGCCCUCGUCCAGGAGGUGGUCCAGCAGGCCCGAGUUGGCUAAGCUGGCGUAGAUGUCGCCGUGACCCGGAGGGUACCACGCCUCUGCCGUGCUGUCUGCACUCACAUGCAAACUCUUGGCGAUGGGAAGCAGGGACUCCUUGUUGAUACGCGGGUACCUCCAUCCCCACGCACACAACACCUGUUCAGCGUCAAGUCGUGUGCUUGUGCUUGUGCGUGUGCGUGUGUGUGUGUGUGCGCGCACGCAUAGGCGUAGCUGCUCUGGGGUUAAAAGUGUGUCUGUUGUUUAUUAUGAAUGCGUGCAUUAGUGUACCUGCUCUGGUUGGAAGUGCGCAUGUCGUGUAGUGUGUGUACUCGCUCUGUGUGUGUGUAUACCUGCUCUGGUUAAAGGUGUGUAUCUUCAGUCGGUGAUGUUUGUACUUCUGAAGAAUCUUCUUGGUUUCUUGGUCCGUGUUGAAGGAAUUCAUCAAGAGCAGAGGAACGUCAGCAUCGUAUGUCUUGUUCAAAUGCUGAACAUAUCCACACAAGAAAAGGAGGAAGACAAAAUAAGGGGGAGAAUAUAAGAGGAAGGGAGGAGAAAAUGGAAAAAGGUGGAGGAAGAAGGAAAAAUGUUCAAGUGAAAAGGGAAGAAAGAAUAGAAAGGGGAAGAGACAGGAAGCAAAAGAAAGGUUGAAAAGAAACUUGACAAUUGAAGGGAACGAUAGGAGCAAGAAGAAGGGGAGGAGGAAGAAGUGAAAGAGGGAACAGGAAGAAGAGGAGGAGGAAGAAGGGGGCGUGGAGGAUGAGGAAGAGGAGGAGGACAUAGACAAGGAAGACAGGAGGAAACAGAAGAGGAAAACAAGAAAGUAGAAGAUGAUGACAGGAAGAAAUAAAUGAAAAAGAUGAAAAAGCAACAGAUAGACAAAAAGGAAGAAGGGGAAUACAAAUGAGAAAAAGGAAGAAACAAUAGGAAGAAUGAAGUAAAAGAGAAGGACGAAUGAAACAGAAGGAAGAGGAGGAGGUAUAAGAGGAAGAAGGAAGGAAAGAGGAAAUGGAAGAAAAAGAGGAAGUAGAAAAGACAGGAGUACACAGGAAGAGAAGUAUAACUAUUAAUAAAUAAUCAAAUAAAACGAGGAGGAGGAGGAAGUAGAGGGGAAAGACAGAAAGGAAUGAGGAGGAAGCAGAAAAAGAAGUGUUGAAGUGAGAGCACAUGUAGAAGAGGAGGAAGACGAGGAGGGCGGCGCGUAGGCGUAGUUGCCGUGGUUACCUCAAUCUGUUUGACGGUGAGGUCGAGGAAGGUGUUUUCGUUGCGUACGCUGAUGAGACUCUUGGGGCCUUUGCAUCCCAUGCUGGUGCCCAGGCCGCCAUUCAGCUUGACCACCGCCAACUUGUUGAGGCACGACGCCACAUCCCGCAGCUGGUGCUCGGCCCGGAUCUCCUCAUACGCCACGAUCUCCGCAACACAACAUCGCACCCGCUUUCGGUCACACAGGUCGUCAAGGCAACUGCCACAGCUUGCCAGUAAGGUGUUAUUUUUCUUUUAUGUAUCUGCCAAGGCAGCAGGCAGGGCGCCAUUUUGUGUGUCUUUGGCAUGUUACGGCGACCCAGCCCUGCCGCUGCCGUCCGUGUAGGUUUGGAUUUUUUUCCUCUCGCAUCAUCGUAAAAACCUUCAUUUAAAAACUGCAUUUUGUGUUUACUUGUGCUGUCUCUGACUAAUAUUUAAAUUCAUUUGAGGAUGGGAAACAAUUAAGUGUGACGAACAUGCAAAAAAAUAAGAACUCAGGAAGGGGUCAAACACUUUUUCACACCGCUGUACUUCGUUGUGCCCCUGGGAAUCACACCUGGAAUCGACUUUGUCCUCUUGGUGGCUGCUUUCACGGAAUCCGUUUUAUGGACACUCAUGCUGUCCCCGAUGAGCAAUGCCUUGUUUAUGCUUCGCCGUGAUGAGGGAACAUUUUCACAUGGCAUCUCAAUGGAGAGACGAAAUAAGAAAGAGACAGCAACAAUGGCAUACAUGGAAGAGUUCCAAGGCGAAAACCA
RNA transcript from Phycodurus eques (leafy seadragon), 8732 nucleotides. It is a transcript of the gene named VPS54 subunit of GARP complex, with no coding region annotated. NCBI's taxonomy places the organism in Eukaryota, Metazoa, Chordata, Actinopteri, Syngnathiformes, Syngnathidae. The record is from RefSeq and is a predicted model, not a curated record. The transcript is spliced from 25 exons.